AACGAACGCUGGCGGCAUGCCUAACACAUGCAAGUCGAACGAGACCUUCGGGUCUUUGUGCGCACGGGUGCGUAAGGCGUGGGAACCUGCCCUUGGGUUCGGUAUAACUCCCCGAGGGGGAUGCUAAUACCGGAUAAUGUCUUCGCACCAAAGAUUUAUUGCCUUUGGAUGGGCGCGCGUUGGAUUAGCUAGUUGGUAGGGGAAAAGCCUACCAAGGCGACGAUCCAUAGCUGGUCGGGGAGGAUGAUCAGCCACACUGGGGCUGAGACACGGCCGAGACUGGUAGGGGAGGGAGGAGGGGGGAAUAUUGGACGAGGGGCGAAAGCGUGAUCCAGCAGUGUCGGGUGAGUGAGGAAGGAGUUAGGGUUGUAAAGCUGUUUGAAACGGGAUGAUAAUGACAGUACCGGGAGAAUAAGCUCCGGCUAACUACGUG
This 433-nucleotide ribosomal RNA is filed under the name uncultured bacterium. RNAcentral's name for it is "partial 16S ribosomal RNA". It matches the Rfam family "Bacterial small subunit ribosomal RNA", at positions 29 to 507 of the family's 1533-position model. The record is from RNAcentral.